Molecule: ribosomal RNA, 254 nt
Filed under: uncultured bacterium
Lineage: Bacteria
Description: partial 16S ribosomal RNA
Rfam family: Bacterial small subunit ribosomal RNA
Source: RNAcentral
GACAGAGGCCCCAAGCGUUAGGCGGAAUCACUGGGCGUAAAGCGCACGUAGGCGGACUCUUAAGUCGGUGGUGAAAUCCUGGAGCUCAACUCCAGAACUGCCUCCGAUACUGGGAGUCUUGGAGUCCGGGAGAGGUGAGUGGAACUGCGAGUGUAGAGGUGAAAUUCGUAGAUAUUCGCAAGAACACCAGUGGCGAAGGCGGGAUCCUGGGCCAGUACUGACGCUGAGGAGCGAAAGCGUGGGGAGCAAACAGG